UACGUAGGGUGCGAGCGUUGUCCGGAAUUACUGGGCGUAAAGAGCUCGUAGGCGGUCUGUCGCGUCUGCUGUGAAAACUCAGGGCUUAACCCUGAGCUUGCAGUGGGUACGGGCAGACUAGAGUGCGGUAGGGGAGACUGGAAUUCCUGGUGUAGCGGUGAAAUGCGCAGAUAUCAGGAGGAACACCAGUAGCGAAGGCGGCUCGCUGGGCCAUACCUGACGCUGAGACGCGAAAGCGUGGGGAGCAAACAGG
This 253-nucleotide ribosomal RNA is filed under the name uncultured bacterium. RNAcentral's name for it is "partial 16S ribosomal RNA". It matches the Rfam family "Bacterial small subunit ribosomal RNA", at positions 524 to 776 of the family's 1533-position model. The record is from RNAcentral.